UAACAAGGAUUCCCCUAGUAACGGCGAGCGAAGCGGGAAGAGCUCAAAUUUGAAAGCUGGCGUCUUCGGCGUCCGCGUUGUAAUCUCGAGACGUGUUUUCCGUGCGGCUCUAUGGACAAGUCCCUUGGAACAGGGCAUCGUAGAGGGUGAAAAUCCCGUACUUGCCAUGGAAGUACCGUGCUUUGUGAUACACGCUCCAAGAGUCGAGUAGUUUGGGAUUGCUGCUCAAAGUGGGUGGUAGACUCCAUCUAAAGCUAAAUAUCGGGGAGAGACCGAUAGCGAACAAGUACCGUGAGGGAAAGAUGAAAAGCACUUUGGAAAGAGAGUUAAAAGUACGUGAAAUUGUCGAAAGGGAAGCACUUGAAGUCAGCCAUGCUGCUUGAGACUCAGCCUGGCUUUUGCUUGGUGUAUUUCUCGGUAGCAAGCCAGCAUUGGUUUGUGUCGUCGGAGAAGCGUAUGGGGAAUGUGGCAUCCUCGGAUGUGUUAUAGCCCUGUGCAGGAUACGACGACGUAGACCAAGGAACGCAGUGUGCCCUCUGGGCGGGUCUUCGGACACCUUCACACUUAGGAUGCUGGCGUAA
RNAcentral lists this ribosomal RNA (581 nucleotides) under uncultured Malassezia. Its description in RNAcentral is "eukaryotic LSU rRNA". It matches the Rfam family "Eukaryotic large subunit ribosomal RNA", at positions 66 to 634 of the family's 3401-position model. The record is from RNAcentral. Lineage: Eukaryota; Fungi; Basidiomycota; Malasseziomycetes; Malasseziales; Malasseziaceae.